CUCAACCACUCUUGCUUUGCAUUUGAGAAUUUAAGUCACUUGACCAAAGUCAGACAACAGUGAUUAUAUUACUACAGUGAUUCUGGAGUGUUCUCAACAAAUAAUAACCUCAGAAACAAGUAGGCACUUGGAGACAUUGGGCUGUGGAUUCAGGUUGCCUAGGUUUGAAUCCUAGUCCCAACAUUUACUAAGGCUCUCUGAUAGUGGGCACAUUAUUUAACUUCCUCAGACCUGUUUCCCCAUCUACAAAAUUGGAUUACCUAUGCUCCAAGGUUUGUGAUCUAGAAUUCAACUAAUAAAUUCAGGCAAAUUAUUCCAAUUAUAUUAAGCACUAGUACUCAAAGCUGACAUUUGAGGCUCAAAUGGAGUGUCUUCUUAGCUUUUGUCUCCUGUCAUUUCAGCCCUAAGCCGAAAUCCAAAAAUAAUGGGAAAAUUCUAUGCCCUGAUAUAACACAGAAUUAUAAAGGAAGCUACAAUAUCCCAUACUCCUUGCUUCAUACUCUAGAAUCCAUUUAAAUGAGGUUUAAAAUUGUUCCGGUUGAGUCAUUCCUUCCAGUCAAGGCAUAUUCUAUCUGAAGGACUCAAAUUAAUUAGCUACAGUUAACAGAUUAUUAAGUCAACUGGCUUCUACGGAGAUGGUGAGAGAGGCCAUGUGGGUACACCAUGAGAAGUCUGUCAUCUACAGGAAAGGAAGAGAGCCCUCCCAGGAAACUGACUUUGCCAGACUUUGACCUGGAACGUCUAUUCUCCAGAACUGGCUCCUUCUUCAUAGGCUGGGGGUGUAUACAAAGAGGAUAAUGGCAUUAAACCAGCAAGGAAGUGUUGCUCUCCAGGAUAGAAUGUACGAUUAGUAGAUGAGAAACUGAGACUCAUGGAGCCUCAACAUGAAGAUGAUGAAAAUGGAGACCUUCAUCGUGAUCCACUUCUAAUUAAUGAAUAGGAGGCUUGGGCCGAACUGGGUGAUCAGACAUCAUACACAGAGAAGGAGCAAGAGAGAGAUUACACAGAGGAGGAACAAGGUGUGCAGCGGACAGCCAGUGCCAAGACCUCAGACACGUGAGUUGUGGAGUCAUGUUGCAUUUUCUGGCCUUGGUCAAACUGUCCCAGCUGACACCAGGGAAGCAAAAAUGGGAGGAUUCCUUUCAACCAUGGAUGAAUUCUUGAUCCACAAACUUGUGAGUGAUAAAAAUAAAUUUUAUUGUGGGAUUAAACCGCUAAGUUUUUGAUAGUGUUUAUAGGUAACUAAAACAAUCACAAAGUGCUCUCUAUUAUAACCUUUGAGUAUCUCUUAAAAUUAUCUACCUGUUUUCAUCUCUGCCAUCCCCAAGAUUAUAACUUCUCUCUCUCAUAGGUUAUUGCAAUGUAUCUCAACUAGUAUUCUGAUUUCUUGUUUUGUUCUUCAUUAAUCUAUUCCUAUUACACAAUGAGGUGAUUUUAA
Molecule: long non-coding RNA, 1438 nt
Filed under: Homo sapiens (human)
Lineage: Eukaryota; Metazoa; Chordata; Mammalia; Primates; Hominidae
Description: HSALNT0293358
Source: RNAcentral